Taeniopygia guttata (zebra finch) is the source of this 3711-nucleotide non-coding RNA. Lineage: Eukaryota; Metazoa; Chordata; Aves; Passeriformes; Estrildidae. The record is from RefSeq and is a predicted model, not a curated record.
UUAUUUGUACACUGCUGGAAGCAACCCAUGCUUGUUUACAUACAGAAAACGUCUCACUCUACAAAAAGCAAAGUACAAUAAAAAGAGGUGAAACAAUAGUUUAAAAAGUAGAGCUCUCAAGAUGUAACUAUUAUUUUCCACAGACCACAGGGAAUGCACAAAAGAGAUGGUGUUUUAAAUGCACCUUGUGUAACAAACACUUGAAAGUCACAGCUGUGGGAGUUCUAUGGGCUGUGACCCCAGGCAAGCCCCAUUUUCUAGUAGGUCUCUGCCCUCAAAAUGAGGCAGCAUACCAUUUAAAGGUAAAAGAAGUCAUCAUUCAGUUCCUGAGUGUGUUACAGCUGUGUGUUACAGCUGCAGUUUUUGUUUCUUUCUCUCCCUCUCUGCCUCCAUAAGGCCACAGGCAGUGCCAUUUCUGCCAAUCUGUAAGCAGACUGGUAGGCAUUAUUUGAACAGAAAAGUUGUACUGAAGAAGAAAAGAGCUUCAGCAGUAUGUAUUUCAGUGUCUCCCCAAAAAGUGUCCCUUCUUUGACCAAAUAAAAGCAAAGCUUUCAGACUUCCUUUUUUAUCCGGGUGGCAUUAUCCCCUUCAUUAGACCUCUGUGCGUUGUAUGCAUGGCUCUGGUAUGUCACCACCUCACCUGAUCAGCUCACGCCCCAAUUCCUGCCCCAGUGAGACCGGCUGGCCAACUGUGAUGGCAACACCAUGGCUGAAGUUUGCAUAUGAGGAUGGCAUCAGCCCAGCCAGGCAAGGUCAAUUCCCCCAUUUUGCAAAGCAGAGGAGAUUGCCAGACCACAUUCAGUGGCAGAUGACCAAUUCAGAGGUAUUACACUUGAUAAAUACAAGCACAGCACAGCUUGAAGAAAAGGACCCUUAAUUGUCCAUGAAAAAUAAAAGUUUUCUAUUUAACCUGAUAACAACCUCUAAAAUAGAGAUAGAGAUUCUUCGUCAAGUCUUGCAUUUAAAAAUAAUUCCACAUGUAUCACUGUGAGUGAGGUGUAAGUGUGGUUUGUUGGUUCAAAGGCAGAUUCGCAGCUUUCUUUUAGCACACAAUUUUGGUCUCAAGACUUGUAGACACUGCAAACAUUGAAACAUCAGUUACAAAGGGAAUACUCGGUAUAGGACACUCUGGUUGGUAUCUUUCUCGCAGUUUAGAUGAACUUGCCAGGUAGCAUAAGCCAGCCUUUCUCUAUUCACUAGAGCCUUUUGGAGAGGUGCUGUGUGACAGGGAGGCUGUUGGAGGCAGAAGUGUUUGCAUGGGAUGGAGACUGCAACUACUGUAACCGUCCCUGUGGCAAGAACACCCACAGAAACAGGUAAUUUGCCCCUCCCACACCAACUAACAGCCAGAAGCAAAAAAUGUUAAAGUAAAUUACAUCAUCGUUUGCCUGUAUCAUUACUAAGGAGGAACUGAAAGCUGUUUUAUGAGGAGCAGACAGACAAAACUAGCUUGAGCUUGAGACAUAAAAAACCUAAACCACUAAGAUACCUGAAGGCAUCCCAAUUAAGUGAUAUUACCAUCCCGAUCAAGAUGCAGUCAUUGUUAGUAAGCACCCCUGAUUUUUAACAGAGAUAUUCCAAUUAAGUAGAUUUCCUGAUUAGGAGUACUUAAAUUAAGUGGAGAGAACAGCGUGGAGGAAUCCUGGAUGGCUUUUUAUGAAGGCCACCUUCAGAGGGGAGCUUUGUCACUUGCAACAGGGCAUAAGUGGAGUUCAGGCCACGUAGCCCAAAAUCGUGGCAAUGUCCCUUUGCCCCAUGCAGAGCAACCAUCUAACCUUGAAGACAUCCAUCCUCGGUUGCUGCCUCCAUCUCGUAGCUGUGUGUUCCCCCAGCACGGAUAGCUCUGCUGCUGGGCAUGCCUGCAACCGCCUGAGUCAGAGCAUCUUGGCACCUGUUUUCAGCCUAAAUCCCAGUGGGAUCCAAAAAGUAGGCAGAGUGGCGUCUAAGUACCCGCAGGGUCUGAUUCAAUAGAUAAUGUCUUGGGCUGUGGGACAAAUUUGAAGGGAAGGUUCUUAUCAGCUCUGCACCACGUAUCUCUGUAUUUUACAGGUCUCAACUCUGGCCAGAUCCUCGUGGUUUUUGGAUGGAGUGACUUAAGUGACACAUUUUGAUCCUCAAGCCAUUAAACUGAAUUGCAUCAGCUGUGGCUCUGGCUUGGAGAAAUUAAAGAUGAGCACCUGUACCAGCUCAGCACCACCACGUUGAAUGCAGUCACAGAAGUUCAGCCACUGAAGAGUGAGCAAGACUAGAGCUUGGAUGAUGCUGCUGGAUUUCAUGUGUGUGCAUUAUGUGCCAGGAAAGACCAGGAGGUGGUGUUAGGGAAAACUGCUGGUUUAGGCAGUUCAGUGUUGAGAUUGGUUUCUUACUCUGAAAGCUGUCCCUCACAAAGUGCAGUGUGCAACAGUGGCAUAGGGUUUUGUUUUUUUUUGUACAAACUUAAAUAUACUCGUUAACUCCUCAAAAUAAUGUUAUCUCUUCCAGCGCAUUUCCCAUUGAAGUGAAUGGAAAUGUUCCCAUUGACUUUAAAGCACAAUUUCCUCUACCUACUCCUUCUUAAAAGACUUAAUCAAGCAUGUUUAGUGGAAACCUAUGAGAGUUGUCUAAUGACUGGCUCACUUUGCCCAGGGAAAAACGUAACUAUAAACUGAAACAUGAUGCUGAAAACUAAGUUUAGUAGAAAGUGUUUAGUCUAGUGCUGGAUGAAUGAUGGAAGCUUGUAUUUGUGAAUAAUUUAUUUGACAAUUGGUGAGGGAAAAAAAAUGACCGAAUAAGUUCUUUGCUCGUUUUUUCUUGCCUGUCUACCAAACUGGCUGCAUAAUGCGCAAACAAAUGGCUAAUAUUUAUUCAGGAGCAAAGAGGUCAGCUUUUGUCAAAAAUGUUUUUAGCAGUGGCUUGGACAAGCACCAGAUUAGCUUAAUUUUCUUGUGUCCUCUGCAUAGUAAACAAAGGAAGCUGUGCUAUUAGUUACUGAAUUCACUGUGAAUUUUGCAUCUCGCCAGUAAUGCUUACACUUUACAGCAAAUCCUCUGUUGCAAAGACUCUGCCAAUACUGGAGCUUGGCUUUUAUGCCUGCACAAAACCUCCUGAGACUUUAGAAGCCUCUAAAGUGAGUUUCUCUCUAUAGCCCGUACAGGAGGUGCUGCCCACCUUCAGCCCCUUCUGAAAGGGGCUUCUUCUGAGUCAGGUGCAGCGUUGCAGACAGCAGCUACAGAGCAGGAGAUGCACUGCUGAGGAGAAGGAGUACUUUGUGAUCGGGAGCUGCCAUCUUCACAUAGGCUGAUGUAAAUAGUUGCUGAUUGCCAGACAGAAGGUGCUUAUUAAUUAUUUUUCCUCUUAGUGACAGAGGAAAUACAGACAGACAUCGUAGUCUCUGAAGAUCUCUCUUUAUUAGCUUGACCUGACAGCACUACCGAGGUGUUUUGCUUGGGGACAAAAUCCACGUUUUGCCUUGCAAUUUAGUAAGCUUGUCUGCAUUGCCUCCCACGCUUCCUCCUACAACCUUUCCCUUCCCCUGUGACACACCCAGGUUUCUUUUUUUUGCUAGUCCUUCAUCCUCUGCUACCUUCCUGCCUUCUCCCAAGCUGCCCUAUGAGCUUAAAAGUGCUCUAAAGUGAACAUAUAUUUUAAUACUUUUUCUUUUGUCCUCCUCACCCCUUUUAAAAUACAGGAAAAUAUACUUUUUGCGCAAGAUACUGAAGGUACAAUCCCAAA